This 424-nucleotide ribosomal RNA is filed under the name uncultured Planctomycetaceae bacterium. RNAcentral describes it as "partial 16S ribosomal RNA". It matches the Rfam family "Bacterial small subunit ribosomal RNA", at positions 355 to 774 of the family's 1533-position model. The record is from RNAcentral. Lineage: Bacteria; Pseudomonadati; Planctomycetota; Planctomycetia; Planctomycetales; Planctomycetaceae.
UCGAGAAUCUUCGGCAAUGGGCGCAAGCCUGACCGAGCGACGCCGCGUGCGGGAUGAAGACCUUCGGGUUGUAAACCGCUGUCGGAGGGGAGGAAAUGCCAUGGGGCUCACCUCAUGGUUUGACCUAUCCUCAAAGGAAGGACGGGCUAAGUUCGUGCCAGCAGCCGCGGUAAGACGAACCGUCCGAACGUUAUUCGGAAUCACUGGGCUUAAAGGGUGCGUAGGCGGCCCUGAAAGUUGGGUGUGAAAUCCCUCGGCUCAACCGAGGAACUGCGCCCAAAACUACAGGGCUCGAGGAAGACAGAGGUAAGCGGAACUUGCGGUGGAGCGGUGAAAUGCGUUGAUAUCGCAAGGAACACCAGGGGCGAAAGCGGCUUACUGGGUCUUUUCUGACGCUGAGGCACGAAAGCUAGGGGAGCGAACG